Molecule: ribosomal RNA, 440 nt
Filed under: uncultured bacterium
Lineage: Bacteria
Description: partial 16S ribosomal RNA
Rfam family: Bacterial small subunit ribosomal RNA
Source: RNAcentral
CCUACGGGAGGCAGCAGUGGGGAAUAUUGCACAAUGGGGGAAACCCUGAUGCAGCGACGCCGCGUGAGUGAAGAAGUAAUUCGUUACGUAAAGCUCUAUCAGCAGGGACGAAAAUGACGGUACCUGCGUAAGAAGCCCCGGCUAACAACGUGCCAGCAGCCGCGGGAAUACUUAGGGGAUAACGGUCAGCCGGAUUUACUGGGUGUAAAGGGAGCAGUGACGGAGUGCCAGGUCUGGAGUGAAAUGCCUCAGCUUAACUGCGGAACUGCUUUGGAAACCGGCGAACUAGAGUGCUGGAGGGGUAAGCGGAAUUCCUAGUGUAGCGGUGAAAUGCGUAGAUAUUAGGAGGAACACCGGUGGCGAAGGCGGCUUACUGGACCGUAACUGACGUUGAGGCUCGAAAGCGUGGGGAACAAACAGGAUUAGAUACCCGAGUAGUC